UGGACGAGUUUGCUCGCGGUGGUC
RNAcentral lists this non-coding RNA (24 nucleotides) under Arabidopsis thaliana (thale cress). The record is from RNAcentral. Lineage: Eukaryota; Viridiplantae; Streptophyta; Magnoliopsida; Brassicales; Brassicaceae.